GUCUAUGGCCAUGCCACCCUGAAAAAGCCCAAUGUCUGAUCUUGGAAGCUAAGCAGUGUCGGGUCUGGUUAGCACUUGGAUGGGAGACCACCUAGGAAAACCAGGGGCUGUAGGCA
This 116-nucleotide ribosomal RNA is filed under the name Pteropus alecto (black flying fox). Lineage: Eukaryota; Metazoa; Chordata; Mammalia; Chiroptera; Pteropodidae. The record is from RNAcentral.